Molecule: long non-coding RNA, 4009 nt
Filed under: Homo sapiens (human)
Lineage: Eukaryota; Metazoa; Chordata; Mammalia; Primates; Hominidae
Description: non-protein coding LINC01621:6
Source: RNAcentral
AGCAGAGACGGAGGCCACUGGGCACAGGAGAGAUUUGGGAUGGAGAGCUGGUGAGCCUUUCUCUGUUCUCCACAUCUGAAAGUCUGGCUUUAGGCACAAUAUUUAUGAACUUUAGCAAUAUGCACAAAUCAAAUGAGCUGAAAAAUCAGACCAGGCAGAUAAAAGUAAAAUCAUCUUACUGAAAUUCCUGGAAACAACAGUUUCAGCCAUUUGACAUAUAAACUAGAAGAUUUGGUGCCCAGCAUGAAGAAUAGUUCCUUUCAAGUACCUGUAUGUCCUGAAUGUAUUCCUUCCAGUGGGUUCUUGGUCUCGCUGACUUCAAGAAUGAAGCCUUGGACCCUCGUGAUAUGUGCUCACCCUUCUCUGCUCAGCUCUGUGCCUGGGAGGCUGACCUCUACAAACUGCAUCACCAGGCUUCCGCCCUCUGGCUUCCAGAUGGAUUUGGCCAAUGGGCAGCACCAGUGGGAAAGGAGAGGACAGGAGGAGAGACAGGCUGAGGCCUCCCUCCUCCUGUGUCCCUGACAUACAGUGACAGUGCUGCCCUGCAGCUCAGGAUGGAUGCAGUCAAGGACGACAGCGCAUGUCCAAAAAAGCUGUCUGCUGAACAUUUGCCCAGCAGAUUUUAGAAAGAAAGGAAACAUCUUAGUGAUUUUCUUGCCUCCAGAAGAUUCCCUGAUCCAAUCUUUCCUUGGCACAAACUUUUAGUUAUUGUGUUUACAUAUACAUUUUAUAUAUGUGUGGUCAUUAUUGUAUCUGUUUUAUUUGGGGACUUUAUCUUGAUGUGUGUUAUACCUAAUACACUGCAAUAUAAAUUAUGUAAUUAUGUGCUUUUUUUUUUUGAGAUGGAGUCUCGUUCUGUCACCCAUGCUGGAGUGCAGUGGUGUGAUCUCGGCUCACUGCAACCUCCACCUUCUGGGUUCAAGUGAUUCUGCUGCUUCUGCGUCUCAAGUAGCUGGGACUACAGGCGCCUGCCACCACACUCAGCUAAUUUUUUUUUUUUUUUUUUAAGUAGAGGUGGGGCUUCACCAUGUUGGCCAGGCUGCUUUCGAACUCCUGACGUCAGGUGAUCCACCCACCUCAGCCUCACAAAGUCCUGGAUUACAGGCAUGAGCCACCACACCCGCCCUGUGCUUUCAAUAAGUACUUUCUCACUGCUUACUGACUGAUACCCCUAGCUUUUGUAUCAUGAGGAAAAAGAGGCAUAAGAGAAUGAAUCCCUGGCCCCAGUAUCAGUCAGGAUUUAAUCAGAAAACAGAAGUCAUGCUAGGUUUUUGAUGAGUUGGAGAGAGUUGAAAGAGGAAUUAAGGCUUGCACAACCAUUAGAAGGGCUGGGUAAGGAAAGGUCAGACGGUUGCUCUUAGGGCAUCUGAAAUGCAGAGAUCUCAAGAGAAAUUGGGGCUUCUGUUGUGAUCAAGUUGCCCAUAGCAGGUGCUUCUCAGCAGGACCCUGAGAAGCUGAGGCUCUGAGUAACCGCCUGUAGCUGGCACUAAAGAAAAAUGGCUUCUCCUUUUCUGCCUCAGAUGUUUCACGGGGGUGCCUCUCACUGGACAAAUGUAACCUCGAGGCACAUAGGAAAAGAACUGGGUAGUGAGGUUUCUGGUUUUCCUCCAAGAUGGAGAAGAGUGGAGGGCUGGGGAGCAUGAGUCACAAUGAAGUUGAACUAUCAACAGACCACCCAGAAACAAAACCUCCCAUAUAUUAAUGAAAAAUAAAAAAAGCAAACAGCAAUUGAUAAACAAAUGUAUUUAAGUUAUACCAAGGGCAAGAUUGCUCUGUCAAAAAGCAUUUGAUAAUCAGUUAAUUGGUGAGUGUCUGCUAUGCAGAAUUAGAGGCAGUUAUUUUUUUGUUUGUUUGUUUUUGUUUUAGAUUAUUUCUUGCUCAAAACUCACUCAGGUUCCUGGGCUAUAAUACUUGAGCCAGACAGAGCAGCUUUGAUCUCACUGGCAGUUUGUUUAGAAGCCUGAGAUCUGGAGUGGCUUUCUAAAAUCUUCAGCUCUAAAAACCAAUACAGUUUAGUAAAAAUCUAUACAUUUGCUUGCAAUAGUCUCAAGUACAUAGUAAAAUGACAGAAAUGAUUUCAACCAAGAAAUUAGCCAUUUUCUUCCUCUUGAUUUAAGAAGGGAGAAAUAGCUUUGGAGGGAAGUGGCAAUAUUUCUAAAUUUACACACAAAUUCACACCGACAGUAUGCUCCUAAUGGUUGCCACAUUUAGAGCUAACCUGGUUUUCUGAGAUUGAUCUGGGAUGGAAGGAGAAAGAACAGCUAACUGACCGGAAGCUAAACGCCACAAGGCAAAGCCUCUUUGUUAGAAGCUGAAGAUUAUCAUAUUUCUAGGGGAGGCUGGAUGCUUUGGUUAAGAGAGACCUAGUUAUGAAUCCAGCCUUCUAAAGACCUCCAGGGAGAACUCUGCAAGUCUCCUCAGGGCAGGGGUUCUGGGAGUUUCUAGGUUCUUGCAAUUCCUGCAAGCAAACACAUCAACACACAAAAAAGCACUGGGAAUUCAGAGUCCCAGAGAAGGACAUUUGGGUACAUCCCUCAAGGUUAAAAUUUGCUGGAAACUUUGAUAAGAUAUUUGGAUGUGGAGAAGACUGGGGAAGUGUUAAGUAAAGGAAUAUGAAGUUGGGAGUCAAUUAUUCAUUAUUUUCCCUAUUCCUCUCACCCAUUAGCAUCAAUAAUUGAAAAAGAACCAUCCAUGUGUGUAUGGGGAAGGCAGUAGGCUUAGAGGCUGCUAAUAACAAUUUAGUAAAUGAGGCCAAAAAUGGGGCUCUGCAGGCAACAAGCUUGACUGGGUAGAGCCAGGCCACCUCAAAGCUGAGGCUUUAACCACCAUGGCCUGCCAUCUGCAGCACAUGACUCACUGCAUCUUUAAGCAAGACUUUGCCCAAAUAAGUACCUUCCACUUUGGUUCUAUAUUGCUGCCACCAGUGUAACUACUCUGCUGCCUUUCCUAGGGGUGGGGACAAGCUACCUCCUUGAGUUUGAGGCUUGAGCCUACCUUUGUACCUGUGGUCCUUAAGAGGUGCUGUCCUUCUCAUUUAGCUCAUACAAAGUGACUCGGGCAUCCUGCAGCAUCCCUGUACAGGUAUCAGCCCAGUCCACACUGCUAAUUGCACCCAUUUUCUUCAAAGUCCAUCUGUUUACUUAAGCAUGUUGGUGCUCAUGCUCAAUGUGCAAGGUAAUAUAGAUUGAUAUGGAUUCUUUGGGAUUUUUAGUUAAGUGGUUUCUGCUUGUGACAUUCUUUCCUUUUUUCUUUCUUUCUUUCUUUUUUUUGAGACGGAGUCUCUGUCGCCAGGCUGGAGUGCAGUGGCAUGAUCUCAGCUAGGCUCACUGCAACCUCCGUCUCCCGGGUUCAAGCAAUUCUCCUGCCUCAGCCUCCCAUGUAGCUGGGAUUACAGGCGCAUGCCACCAUGCCCAGCUAGUUUUUUUGUAUUUUUUUUUUAGUAGAGACGGGGUUUCACCAUAUUGGUCAGGCUGGUCUUGAACUCCUGACCUUGUGAUCUGCCCGCCUCGGCCUCCCAAAGUGCUGGGAUUACAGGCAUGAGCCACCACGCCUGACCUGCUUGUGACAUUAUUUUCUGCCUUUUAAAUACAAAUAGAAGUAUACAAAAGCAUAUACCUCAGUGCUUCAGGGAGAAAAGUGUGUUAGAUAAAUAGACUACCUGUAAGGAAGACUUAGUAUAAUGACAAGCAUGACUGCUUGGUAUAUUCAGAAUUUUGAUGUGUGACAAAUAAUGUGUGUCAUUCUUUGAAAUAUAAAUGUUAGAGCUUCUUAUGUUAAAAGAAGCCAUCCUAACCAAAUAAUACUCUAGGCUUUCAGUGUACCUAUAAACAUGUUCAUCUGGUGGGAAUUAAGAGAUAUGCCAAAAAACAGAUUUGAAUUUGAGCAAAAGAAUAGCAAUACAUUAACUGCUAUAUUAUAGAGUUUGUAAAGAUUGCUAUAGUGAUUAUCAGUGCUUCACGGUGUCAUUAUUGGCUUCACUAUUAAAGAUAUUGCUGUGAAAAUGAAAAUU